This 294-nucleotide ribosomal RNA is filed under the name Pseudoalteromonas sp. S983. Its description in RNAcentral is "partial 16S ribosomal RNA". It matches the Rfam family "Bacterial small subunit ribosomal RNA", at positions 202 to 488 of the family's 1533-position model. Lineage: Bacteria; Pseudomonadati; Pseudomonadota; Gammaproteobacteria; Alteromonadales; Pseudoalteromonadaceae. The record is from RNAcentral.
GGGGCUUCGGCUCUCGCCUUUAGAUUGGCCCAAGUGGGAUUAGCUAGUUGGUGAGGUAAUGGCUCACCAAGGCAACGAUCCCUAGCUGGUUUGAGAGGAUGAUCAGCCACACUGGGACUGAGACACGGCCCAGACUCCUACGGGAGGCAGCAGUGGGGAAUAUUGCACAAUGGGCGCAAGCCUGAUGCAGCCAUGCCGCGUGUGUGAAGAAGGCCUUCGGGUUGUAAAGCACUUUCAGUCAGGAGGAAAGGUUAGUAGUUAAUACCUGCUAGCUGUGACGUUACUGACAGAAGA